UAUGGCAAGGAGGCUGCAGACCAUCCUCUCCUGCCACUUGGACCUGCGAUCCCUGCCUUUGA
This is a microRNA precursor of Gallus gallus (chicken), 62 nucleotides long. The record is from Ensembl. Lineage: Eukaryota; Metazoa; Chordata; Aves; Galliformes; Phasianidae.